RNAcentral lists this ribosomal RNA (460 nucleotides) under uncultured bacterium. Its description in RNAcentral is "partial 16S ribosomal RNA". It matches the Rfam family "Bacterial small subunit ribosomal RNA", at positions 338 to 795 of the family's 1533-position model. The record is from RNAcentral.
CCUACGGGAGGCUGCAGUGAGGAAUAUUGGUCAAUGGGCGCGAGCCUGAACCAGCCAAGUAGCGUGAAGGAUGACUGCCCUACGGGUUGUAAACUUCUUUUAUCAAGGAAUAAAGUGAGCCACGUGUGCCGUUUUGUAGGUACCUUAUGAAUAAAGAUCGGCUAACUCCGUGCCAACAGCCGCGGUAAUACGGAGGAUCCGAGCGUUAUCCGGAUUUAUUGGGUUUAAAGGGAGCGUAGAUGGGUUGUUAAGUCAGUUGUGAAAGUUUGCGGCUCAACCGUAAAAUUGCAAUUGAAACUGGCGCUCUUGAGUACAGUUGAGGUAGGCGGAAUGCGUGGUGUAGCGGUGAAAUGCUUAGAUAUCACGAAGAACUCCGAUUGCGAAGGCAGCCUACUGGACUGCUACUGACACUGAGGCUCGAAAGUGUGGGUAUCAAACAGGAUUAGAUACCCUGGUAGUC